This 2899-nucleotide ribosomal RNA is filed under the name Dielma fastidiosa. RNAcentral's name for it is "bacterial LSU rRNA". It matches the Rfam family "Bacterial large subunit ribosomal RNA". The record is from RNAcentral. Lineage: Bacteria; Bacillati; Bacillota; Erysipelotrichia; Erysipelotrichales; Erysipelotrichaceae.
AAGUGAUUAAGUAGAGAAGGGCGUACGGUGAAUGCCUAGCCACAUACAGCUGAAGAAGGACGCAUCAAACGGCGAAACGCCACGGGGAGCGGUAAGAACGCAACGAUCCGUGGGUAUCCGAAUGGAGAAAUCCGAUAACGGUAAUGCGUUAUCAUCCAUGAGUGAAUCAAUAGCUCAUGAGAGAGAAACCCAGGGAAUUGAAACAUCUUAGUACCUGGAGGAAAAGAAAACAAAAGUGAUUCCGUCAGUAGCGGCGAGCGAACGCGGAAGAGGCCAAACCAGAACUUGUUCUGGGGUUGUAGGACCUCGAGGUGAGACUUUGACGAUUAGCAGAACGGCAUUGAAAGGCCGGCCGAAGAAGGUGCAAGCCCUGUAAACGAAAAUCGAAGAAGCUCUAGAGGGAUCCUGAGUACGGCGGGGCACGUGAAACCCUGUCGGAAUCCGCCGGGACCAUCCGGCAAGCCUAAAUACGAGUAUGUGAGCGAUAGUGAACCAGUACCGUGAGGGAAAGGUGAAAAGAACCCCGGGAGGGGAGUGAAAUAGAACCUGAAACCGUAUGCCUACAAGAAGUCAGAGCCCGUUAAAGGGUGAUGGCGUGCCUUUUGUAGAAUGAACCGGCGAGUUACCAUAUCGUGCGAGGUUAAGUAGAAGAUACGGAGCCGAAGCGAAAGCGAGUCUGAAAAGGGCGAGAGUACGAUGCGGUAGACCCGAAACCAGGUGAUCUAGCCAUGAUCAGGUUGAAGUCAAGGUGAUACUUGAUGGAGGACCGAACCGACCCCCGUUGAAAAGUUGGCGGAUGAAUUGUGGCUAGGGGAGAAAUUCCAAUCGAACCUGGAUAUAGCUGGUUCUCCCCGAAAUAGCUUUAGGGCUAGCGUCGGAGGAAGCCAUGUGGAGGUAGAGCACUGAAUGCAUGAUGGCCCCAUCCAGGGGUACUGAAUGCAAUCAAACUCCGAAUGCCAUGUGGUACUAUCCGGCAGUCAGACUGUGGGUGAUAAGGUCCAUGGUCAAAAGGGAAACAGCCCAGACCGCCAGUUAAGGUCCCAAAAUGUAUGCUAAGUGGAAAAGGAUGUGGAGAUGCACAGACAACUAGGAGGUUGGCUCAGAAGCAGCCAUCCUUCAAAGAGUGCGUAACAGCUCACUAGUCGAGUGACUCUGCGCCGAAAAUGUACCGGGGCUAAGCAUACUACCGAAGCUGCGGAUUUACGAUUAAACGUAAGUGGUAGGGGAGCGUUCCAUGAACGUAGAAGCCGUAUCGGAAGAAGCGGUGGAGAGCAUGGAAGUGAGAAUGCCGGUGUGAGUAGCGAGAUGCAGGUGAGAAUCCUGCACACCGAUAGCCCAAGGAUUCCAGGGGAAGGUUCGUCCGCCCUGGGUAAGUCGGGACCUAAGGCGAGGCCGAAAGGCGUAGUCGAUGGAAAACAGGCAGAUAUUCCUGUACCCGCGUGAGAAUGAAGGAGUGACGGAGAAGGUUAGUGGAUCCACUUAAUGGAUUGUGGUCCAAGCGCAGGAGCAGAUACGUAGGCAAAUCCGCGUAUCAAUGCAAAGGCGUGAAGGGGAGUGAAAGCUUCGGCGAGUAGCGAAGUUCAUGAUACCAGCUUCCAAGAAAAGCUUCUAGUGCUAAUCUCAUCGCGGCCCGUACCAAAACCGACACAGGUGGGCAAGGCGAGAAGCCUGAGGUGAGCGAGAGAACUGUUGCCAAGGAACUCGGCAAAAUGACCCCGUACGUUCGCAAGAAGGGGUGCUCGAAAGAGCCGCAGUGAAGAGGCCCAAGCGACUGUUUAACUAAAACACAGCUCUCUGCAAAGUCGCAAGACGAAGUAUAGGGGGUGACUCCUGCCCGGUGCUGGAAGGUUAAGAGGAUGUGUCAUUCCGAAAGGGAGAAGCAUUGAAUUGAAGCCCCAGUGAACGGCGGCCGUAACUAUAACGGUCCUAAGGUAGCGAAAUUCCUUGUCAGGUAAGUUCUGACCCGCACGAAAGGAGUAACGAUUUGGGCGCUGUCUCGGCAGCAGACUCGGUGAAAUCUUAGUCCCGGUGAAGAUGCCGGGUACCCGCAACUAGACGGAAAGACCCCAUGGAGCUUUACUGUAGCCUGAUAUUGAAUUUUGAUCAAACAUGUACAGGAUAGGUGGGAGACAGAGAGACCUGCACGCCAGUGUAGGAGGAGUCGACGUUGGGAUACCACCCUUGUUUGAUUGAAGUUCUAACCUGCUUCCGUGACCCGGAAGAGGGAGAGUGUCAGGUGGGCAGUUUGACUGGGGCGGUCGCCUCCUAAAGAGUAACGGAGGCGCCCAAAGGUACCCUCAGAUUGGUUGGAAAUCAAUCGACGAGUGCAAAUGCAGAAGGGUGCUUGACUGCGAGACCAACAAGUCGAGCAGGGACGAAAGUCGGGAUUAGUGAUCCGGCGGUGCCGAAUGGAAGGGCCGUCGCUCAACGGAUAAAAGCUACCCUGGGGAUAACAGGCUGAUCUCGCCCAAGAGUUCACAUCGACGGCGAGGUUUGGCACCUCGAUGUCGGCUCAUCGCAUCCUGGAGCUGAAUUCGGUUCCAAGGGUUGGGCUGUCCGCCCAUUAAAGCGGUACGCGAGCUGGGUUCAGAACGUCGUGAGACAGUUCGGUCCCUAUCUGUUGUGGGCGUAGGAAAUUUGAGGAGAUCUGUCCUUAGUACGAGAGGACCGGGAUGGACCUACCGCUGGUGCACCAGUUGUAUCGCCAGAUGCAUAGCUGGGUAGCUAAGUAGGGAACGGAUAAGCGCUGAAGGCAUCUAAGCACGAAACCGACUCCAAGAUGAGAUUUCCCAUACGCAAGUAGUAAGACCCCUUGAAGACGACAAGGUAGAUAGGUCAGAGAUGGAAGUGUAGAAAUACAUGGAGUUGACUGAUACUAAUGGUACGAGGACUUAAUCAC